GACGAACGCUGGCGGCGUGCCUAAUACAUGCAAGUUGAGCGCUGAAGGUUGGUACUUGUACCGACUGGAUGAGCAGCGAACGGGUGAGUAACGCGUGGGGAAUCUGCCUUUGAGCGGGGGACAACAUUUGGAAACGAAUGCUAAUACCGCAUAAAAACUUUAAACACAAGUUUUAAGUUUGAAAGAUGCAAUUGCAUCACUCAAAGAUGAUCCCGCGUUGUAUUAGCUAGUUGGUGAGGUAAAGGCUCACCAAGGCGAUGAUACAUAGCCGACCUGAGAGGGUGAUCGGCCACAUUGGGACUGAGACACGGCCCAAACUCCUACGGGAGGCAGCAGUAGGGAAUCUUCGGCAAGGGACGAAAGUCUGACCGAGCAACGCCGCGUGAGUGAAGAAGGUUGUCGGAUCGUAAAACUCUGUUGGUAGAGAAGAACGUUGGUGAGAGUGGAAAGCUCAUCAAGUGACGGUAACUACCCAGAAAGGGACGGUUAACUACGUG
RNAcentral lists this ribosomal RNA (497 nucleotides) under uncultured bacterium. RNAcentral's name for it is "partial 16S ribosomal RNA". It matches the Rfam family "Bacterial small subunit ribosomal RNA", at positions 28 to 507 of the family's 1533-position model. The record is from RNAcentral.